RNAcentral lists this ribosomal RNA (429 nucleotides) under Fusobacteriota bacterium. RNAcentral describes it as "Fusobacteria bacterium partial 16S ribosomal RNA". It matches the Rfam family "Bacterial small subunit ribosomal RNA", at positions 355 to 776 of the family's 1533-position model. Lineage: Bacteria; Fusobacteriati; Fusobacteriota. The record is from RNAcentral.
UGGGGAAUCUUCCGCAAUGGACGAAAGUCUGACGGAGCAACGCCGCGUGAGUGAAGACGGCCUUCGGGUUGUAAAGCUCGGUGAUCCGGGACGAAAGAGCCUGAUGUAAAUAGCCUAAGGAAGUGACGGUUCCGGAAAAGCAAGCCACGGCUAACUACGUGCCAGCAGCCGCGGUAAUACGUAGGUGGCAAGCGUUGUCCGGAAUUAUUGGGCGUAAAGCGCGCGCAGGCGGCUUCCUAAGUCCAUCUUAAAAGUGCGGGGCUUAACCCCGCGAUGCGAUUGAAACUGGGAAGCUGGAGUACCGGAGAGGCAAGUGGAAUUGCUAGUGUACCGGUGAAAUGCGUAGAGAAUAGGAAGAACACCGGUGGCGAAGGCGACUUGCUGGACGAAAACUGACGCUGAGGCGCGAAAGCGUGGGGAGCAAACAGG